Molecule: long non-coding RNA, 333 nt
Organism: Stegodyphus dumicola
Lineage: Eukaryota; Metazoa; Arthropoda; Arachnida; Araneae; Eresidae
Source: RefSeq, a predicted model, not a curated record
UUCUACUUUUAAGUCGUUUCUUAAUUUGUUAUUUCUCAUUAAAAUUUGGCUCCCGCGCUUAGCAAAACUGUAAUUUUUAGUUUCCUUGUGGUACGCGUUCGAAAAUUCUUGCAUGUGAUUUAUUCAUAAGGGGGAAAAAUCGAUGUGGUAUCUGAUUUCUUAUCGUCCAUAUGGCCCCCACGCAAUAUGACCGCUGCUUUGAGGUUGAUCAUUUCAUCAAGACCUGAAAUUCUUCAGAUACAUUAGGCCAGACCUCGGCAAGCUAUGAUCCUCGGGUCACCGAUUGACCCAUUUCAAAAUUUCAAGUGACCCACUUGAGUUCGGAAAAUAAAG